UACAGAGGGUGCAAGCGUUAAUCGGAAUUACUGGGCGUAAAGCGCAGGUAGGAGGUUUGGUAAGUCUAUUGUGAAAGCUCCCGGCUUAACUGGGAGAGGUCAAUGGAAACUACCAGGCUGGAGUGCGGUAGAGGUAGCUGGAAUUCCCGGUGUAGCGGUGAAAUGCGUAGAUAUCGGGAGGAAUACCUAUGGCGAAAGCAGGCUACUGGACCGUCACUGACUCUGAUCUGCGAAAGCUAGGGGAGCAAACAGG
RNAcentral lists this ribosomal RNA (253 nucleotides) under uncultured bacterium. RNAcentral's name for it is "partial 16S ribosomal RNA". It matches the Rfam family "Bacterial small subunit ribosomal RNA", at positions 524 to 776 of the family's 1533-position model. The record is from RNAcentral.